AACGCACAUUGCGCCCGCCAGUAUUCUGGCGGGCAUGCCUGUUCGAGCGUCAUUUCAACCCUCAAGCCCGGCUUGGUGUUGGGAACCGAUCGGCUAGAUCCGAUCGCUCCCGAAAUCUAGUGGCGAUCCCACCAACGCAUCCUUGGCGUAGUAACAUACCCGCUCUGGAACUUGGUGUGGUCAUGCCGUUAAACCCCCCACUUUCAAAGGUUGACCUCGGAUCAGGUAGGAAUACCCGCUGAACUUAA
Molecule: unclassified non-coding RNA, 248 nt
Filed under: uncultured fungus
Lineage: Eukaryota; Fungi
Description: partial contains 5.8S ribosomal RNA, internal transcribed spacer 2, and large subunit ribosomal RNA
Rfam family: 5.8S ribosomal RNA (bases 1-52)
Source: RNAcentral